Molecule: ribosomal RNA, 468 nt
Filed under: uncultured bacterium
Lineage: Bacteria
Description: partial 16S ribosomal RNA
Rfam family: Bacterial small subunit ribosomal RNA
Source: RNAcentral
GACGAACGCUGGCGGCGUGCUUAACACAUGCAAGUCGAACGGAAAGGCCCUGCUUUUGUGGGGUGCUCGAGUGGCGAACGGGUGAGUAACACGUGAGUAACCUGCCCUUGACUUUGGGAUAACUUAAGGAAACUGGGGCUAAUACAGGAUAGGAGCUCGUGCUGCAUGGUGGGGGUUGGAAUGUUUCGGCGGUUGGGGAUGGACUCGCGGCUAAUCAGCUUGUUGGUGGGGUAGUGGCUUACCAAGGCCUUGACGGGUAGCCGGCCUGAGAGGGUGACCGGCCACAUGGGGACUGAGAUACGGCCCAGACUCCUACGUGAGGCAGCAGUCGGGAAUAUUGCACAAUGGGCGCAAGCCUGAUGCAGAAGCGCCGCGUGCGGGAUGACGGCCUGCGGGUUGUAAACCGCUUUCGCCUAUGACGAAGCGUGAGUGACGGUAAUGGGUAAAGAAGCACCGGCUAACUACGUG